Molecule: long non-coding RNA, 221 nt
Filed under: Daucus carota (carrot)
Lineage: Eukaryota; Viridiplantae; Streptophyta; Magnoliopsida; Apiales; Apiaceae
Description: long non-coding RNA (DCAR_LNC007478)
Source: RNAcentral
AAAUUCAAGACGAUCCGACCGUUGGAACUCCGGGAAACGCAAAAACAAGGCAGCCAGCGCAACCAGAAAAUUUCCCGCGAAUUUUCACACAAUAUCUCUCUUUUUGCCUAUUUUCUCUCUUGCUUAUUUUCACAAAUAUCCUCCUAUAUUUAUAUAUAGGGUUCCCUUUAUUUUUAUCUCCUUGUGGGCCAAAACAAGGGUAAUCCUAUUGGGCUUUUAAU